GUAAUUUAUAAAACAGUGCCAAUGUUUUCAUGAAGGGGAGUAAGACUUGUGGUAUAAGAUAUCUUAAAUACAAUAGCAGGCCAGUCCCAAGUUUCAGUCCAGAUAGCAGAUGAGUAGCAACUCCAUGGAAGAUGUUUACUUAGAUCUUCAACCAAGUCCGAGGCUUUGCCAUGUAAGCAAUCAAGCACCAAGGAUAGCAGCUGGAAUGAAGAUUAAUUAUUACAUUGAUCUUCAAACAAGUCUGAGGCUUUGUCAUGAAAGAAAUAAUGCAAGUUAUAAAACAGUGCCAAUGUUUUCAUGAAGGGGAGUAAGACUUGUGGUAUAAGAUAUCUUAAAUACAAGUUAGCAUUACAGCUUGUACUUACAGAUUGAUGUUGGAAAUGGCUAUUAGAGUUGACUUUUAAAAAUAACAAUUACUGUGGUUGAAGAAUAUAAUUAUGUGAUGAAUUCUCCAUACUCCUUAGAGAUGUUUUGAAGGUUCUUAACAUGUUGAAAGCUGGGGACUCUCACUUCACAAGACAUCAGAUUUAACAUCCCCAUUCUGACACUGGACAUGGCUGCCAAUUUGUACAUGCUGCACUACCAAACAGAAGCCUUAUUUACUUUUGCAAGGAUUUUACUGCCAGUCUGAAGAAGACCAAGAGUGACCAUAUUUCCCUUUGGGGUCUUUCUAACUCUACUGAACAGUUUCCAAUAUAAACGGUUCACAUAAAUCUUGCAUAAACAAGAGAAAGAAUGUAGUUGGUAAAUUCUAAAAUAAUUAAUGUAAAGAUUCUCCAUUUUCAACAAGAGUGGAAGUUUUGAUUAAGGUUAAUGUAUUGUUUUUUGAAUUUUCACUCAAAUUUCUUUUUCUCACUAUCAUUAAAUGCUAUUGAUUUUUAUUAUUGUGGCUCAACAGAUAAAAAUUUUCCUAUUAAGUUAACAUUUACAUUGGUUAAGAAUGGAGAAUCUACAAAUAACAAAAAUAUUAUAAAUAAUUUUAGUAUAGCAAUGAGUUUGAAACUUUUUCUUCUUCUGUAAGAUAGUAAAGGGUUCGGAUAUAUGCCUGUUGAGAAUAAAAUUACAAAUAGAGAGUGAAAGUAGUUGUGACAGUAAACUGAAUUAAGAAUGUUAAAUAAAAUAUGUUUUUGCAAAUUUGGACGACAAUUAAUUACAAUUAUGUACCAUUUCAACAAUAGAAGUAGUAUAGACUUGCAAAUCCGUACCAUUACAACACUGGAAGUAGUAUGGUUGUCUGAGCGAAGCCAAUUGGAAGCACGUACCUCUUAG
Long non-coding RNA from Mytilus trossulus (common blue mussel), 1269 nucleotides. RefSeq lists it as uncharacterized. Lineage: Eukaryota; Metazoa; Mollusca; Bivalvia; Mytilida; Mytilidae. The record is from RefSeq and is a predicted model, not a curated record. The transcript has 5 exons.